GCGGAAAAGCCCCCAAGAGCCGCACAGACGCUAGGCGCGGCUCUUUAAAGAGCAUGCGGCUCUUGCUGGCUUUUGCAGGAGCUGGGGGAAGGUACAGAGGGCAGCCCGUCAGUCCCUUCCACCACCUCCCGGAAAAGCCCCCAAGAGCCGCGCGGAGCGUGUGUGUGACUCUUGGGGGCUUUCCCCC
This is a non-coding RNA of Podarcis lilfordi (Lilford's wall lizard), 187 nucleotides long. The record is from the annotation of a GenBank genome assembly. NCBI's taxonomy places the organism in Eukaryota, Metazoa, Chordata, Lepidosauria, Squamata, Lacertidae.